Molecule: long non-coding RNA, 4826 nt
Organism: Felis catus (domestic cat)
Lineage: Eukaryota; Metazoa; Chordata; Mammalia; Carnivora; Felidae
Exons: 2
Source: RefSeq, a predicted model, not a curated record
CCUAGAGGCUGAACAAACAAAGGAGGAGGCUGGGGGUUCCUUUCUGCCCGGUUUGCCUUGCCCCUUGGGCCCUGGGCAGCGAGGGGACCUCCAGCAAAGGGCACUGUGGCAGUCAGAACCCUUGCCCCCAGCCUCCUCAGGGAGGUCUUCCGCUUAGGGUCUGGACUACAUCAGCCUCUGUGUUGGGGAACCCUGAGAGGGAUCAGGCAGAAAGCCACUGCCCAAAGAUCCCAGUCUCGUAUGGAUCACUGACCUUGGCUCCCAGGAAGGGCCUGCCUUCCCAGAUGGGCCACCAGCUAGGAUUUACCCACCCUGGGCAGGCCAGAGCCCUCCCACCCCUGCACCUCUCUUUUGAAGGUACUUCUGGACAUUUGUACACACCGGGUGGGGGCUGUUUUGCUCCACAGUUCUCCCUCCUUCCAGAUUUGGGGGCCCUGCCCCUUCCAUUAGUGAGGCCUUCAGGAAUGACUGAGGAGCUCUCCCCUUUAAUCUGUAGAAGUAAUUUCAUGUUUGUUUGAAACAGAAGAUGAAAGGCAGUGGGGGCUGGGGGUCUGAAGCCCAGCGUGGCUCUGCCUGCCUACCCCUGGUCCCAGGGUUUAGAAGGAAAGAAAGGUGGGCAUCCAUGGGCCGGGCAGGGUCAGCAGGAUCAGGACCAGAAACAUCAGGGCAAUCAAUACCCAGUUCAGAUUGCCACCCUGGGCCCCCUGCCCCAGCAUUCAAGCCACCACUGGAAAGCAUCAUGCCGGUGUCUGCAGUAAACACAGAACCCUGCUUUCUCGAGGAGACGCCAGGGCCAGAGUGAGCACCAACCCCUGGAGGCCGGGACAAGUCCCGAAAGCCCCUAGUCGGCCAGCCCAGCCUGGCCAGGGACGGAGGAGUUUCUGCUGCUGCGCUGUUCUCUGAUUCUCUGAAAUGGCCACACACACUUUAAAUGGCCCAAUAAAAAGAUACAAUUUCUUUUGCCUCUGGGCCUGGGACCCUCAAGACUGUUGUGCAGUGCCCGUGAGGUUAAGUUCAGAGCAUAAACUGACACACCAGGCUCUGGGAAAUGGCCCGUCUCUUCAAAUAGCAGCCCAGCAGUGCCAUAGGAGCCCUGCUGGGGCUUUGAUUCGGGAAAACAAACAGAAAUGGCACCGUGGGCCCUUCGUGGCCCCCACCCUAAGACCAAUUUAACUAGAAAACUCUAGCUCAACAGCGCCUGUGAAGGGAGCAAGAUCAGCCUGACAAUAGCCCCAAACUUUGGGGGAAAGGGGGACAAAACAAGCUGUCUGUCUCCUCAGCCCCUCCUCUUGGGCUCCUUUUCUUACUGCAAGUGUGUUCUUGUAAAAAACGAUUAGAUUGCAAUUUGUAUAACAUGGUGACCCCCAAAUUCAGACGUUUCACCCCUUUUCUCUGGAAAGAAUGUCAAGAAUGCUUCUCGGCCUCUCACGGUGGGGGGCGGGAGGGGGGUGCAGAGCCUUGGCUAUCAAACAAUUUGUGUGGGAACAGGACUGCCCCUCAGAGCCCUGGGCCAAGACAGGAGCAAGGGCCGGCUCUGUCACUCCAGAGGGCCAGACAAAAAGUCCAUUCCCUUCCAACUCCUGCGCACAAAGCCUGGGCCUCCAGGAGCCGCUGGGGUGGGGGGCUCCACACCCCAGCCUCCCCCGAGCCCGACUCCAGCAAUUCUCUCUCCACCCAGGGAAAGAUAAAGACAGAUGGGGCCACCCCUGUGAGCCUAAGAAGGAGGGCAGGCCUGGGGCGGACAGCCGGAAGGAGACAUGGCCCUGAGGCCAGGCUGUGUGCAGCAUUCCCUGGGAGCCCCCCCGAGUGCCUGGGCAGAAGGAGCAAGCAGAGGGUGGCCUCAUCCCAGAGACCCUUGAAGGGGGUGAUCAGAUGUGGAAACCGAGGCCCAGAGCGCCCCCCACCCAUAUCACAGAGCUAAGAAGCGGCAGAGUUAGUUCGAGAACCCAAGUCUGUCUGACCACACAGCCUGUGUGCCCUCCGUAGCUCCUCACAGCCUCCCAUCACACACCAGAGGAGGGGUUCCUUGGCCUCAGCCCCACACAGAAGCAAGAAGUUUGCGGUGGCAGGAGUUUGGCAGGGGAGUCACGGAACGACAUUCACAGACUGCAGGCGCUCCAAUGUCCCAGAGGCUACAGGACAAAGGAUCCCUUGGAAGUUUUAGCUGAGCUGUGCCGACAACAGUAUGAUGUGACCAUCAGCUACACUAACAAAAGCAAAAGAUCUAGAAUAAGGAGGGGAUAGCGCCUGCCACUCAUCAUCUCACACCCGGCACGUUCAGUACUCAGUUACGAACAUCCCAUUUCAAGAGGGAUCCAACCAGAUAAAUGCAAGAAACUUUCAGGUGAGAAUGGUCCUAAAACGAGUGUGAGACCCACACAGUAGGGUCACCCUCCCAGCUAUUCCUCACUUACUUUCUUGCUGACCCCCCCCAAAUCUGAUUCUGUGCCCACCGCUCCCAUCCUCCUUGCCACUAUGCACGUGGGGGAAGCUGGGUUCUUCCCCAGACCCAGGUCAAUCUUGACUGGUCAUUCCAUUUCCCUUGCCACGGUUUGGUUCAGGGUGAGCAAAGGAAUACGCUCUUGGCUCACUCAAUAUGAGGAGUCUGCUUGGGGGCUCCUAUAAAAGGACUCCCCAUCUUAAAAAGAGACCCAGGCAGGGACAAGUCUUCUUCCUUCCUUUCUCCCUCUGGGUAUUUUGCCUCAUGAGCAGGUAGAGCUUUUGUGAACAAGCCUGAGCAUAAGGGCAAAACCCACGUUGACAGAGGGGGCAAAGCGGAAAGCUGAGAAGAUGGGCCCUCAGCCUCUCGCUGAGCUACUGCACCCGUCAAUCCUGGAACCAGCGAAGCUUCCAGCUCCUGGGGACUCCUUGUCACUUACGAUAAUAAUAAUCUCUUUAUUGUUGGAGCCACUUUGAAGUAGGCCCUCAAUACUUCCAGCCAAAAGCACCCUAACUGAUGUACUAUGUGUAUAAGCAACAGCAGAAGGGCCUCAGACUUUCGGCCUGAUAAAGAGAAGACACUGGAGAAACAGGACCAAAGUUUUCAGAUAUUUGAAGCCCUGUCUUCGGAGGCAAGGUUCAACUUGCUUCUUGCCUAGAAUCAUAGCCCCUGGAAGCAGGUCAACUCUCGAUGAAGGACAGGUGUGAUAACUCUCAGGGCUCUCCAAAGAUGUAAUGUGGUGUCUGGGAGAGUUGCGAGUUUCCUAUCCCUGUGGUUGGAUGACCGUUAAGAGAAUGUUGUAGAAAAAACCAUAUUUAACUAAAACAGCUCACGUGUUAAAGAAAAAAUCUUUUGGGAAGAGUGACAAUACAAUGGAUUUUUCAGGGGGCAAAAAGAUGGGUACCACUUUCCUGGGGAUACAGAGAGGAAAGGAGACAUGCUGGAGUCACUGAGGCAGGAGACAGACAAGAAGAGAACAUCCUCGCUGCUGCUGUAGAUCACGGUGCUGAACCAGAGCACGGGACCUGGGGCCAGGUGCAGACGGUCUUAGACGUGACCCCACAAGCACAAUUGACAAAAAAAAAAAACAAUUUGGACGCCAUCAAAAUGUAAAACUUUGGUCUUUUAUCCUGUUAAGAGGAUAAAAAGACAAGCUCCAGACUUAAAGAUAGAGGCAAACCACAUAUCUGACAAAGGAUUCAUUUCUAGAAUAUAUAAAGAACUCCCCAAACUCACCAGUGAAAAAGCAAACUGUUCAAUUAGAAAAUCGCCAAAAGACAUGAGCAGAGAUUCCACCAAAGAGAACAUACAGAAGGCAAAUACACACACGAAAAGAUGUCAUUGGCUCUUACGGAAAUUCAAAUUAAAGCCACGAGAUACCACACCUCUUAGAAUAGCUAAGACAAGAAAGAGCGGCAAUUCCAAAUGCUGUCAAGGAUGGGAAGAAACUACAUCUCUCAUACCCUGGAGUUGGAUUAUAAAAUGGUAAAGAUAUUCACAAUAGUUUGACAGGUAAAAAAUUAAACACACACUUACCAAAUGACCUGGCACUUGGACUCUGGGGCAUUUAUCCCAGAGAAAUGAAAACAUGUGUCCACACAAAAGAUUAUAUGCAAAUGUUCACGAGAGCUUAAUUUGCAAUAGUCAAAAAAUUGAACAUAACCCAAAUGUCCUUCAGUGGGUGAAUGCUGUUCAGUGGGAGAGAACUUUGGGGCGUCCACACCAGGGAAUACUACUGAGCAAUAAAAAGGAAGGCGCCAUUGAUACAUAGGACGAGUGCUAUGGCUCUCAUGAGAACUAUGCUGGGUUAACGGGGGUGGGGACCAAAUCACAAAAGGUAUUCCACUUAUAUAACACCUCCAAGCUGCCAGAAGUAAAGAGGUGGAAAACACGUAAGUGGCUGCGAGAGGUUAGAGACGAGGGAGGUUAAGAGGGCAGGGGAGGAAGAUGGUGUGGCUGUACGUGGGCAAGUGGGGAAUCCGCCAGUUCUGUAUCCUAACUGUUGUAGUAGUUACGUGAAUCUACACAUGGGAUAAAAUGGCAAAGAACCACACACACACACACACACACACAGAGAAAUGAGUACAAUCUGAAUAAAGGUCUGUGGAUUAUACCAAUGUCAAUUUCCUGGUUCUGAUUAUAAUAUAAUAUAAUAUAACAUAAUAUAAUAUAGAAAUUACUUAUAAAUAAUUGAUAUCAAAUUUAUAUUUAUUAUAUUAUCUAACGUAACACAGGUACCUUGCUGUCCUAUUUUUGGAACUUCCUAUGAAUCUCUAUUUCAAAAUAAAAAGCUUAAAAAAAUCCAACAGAAUGGCAGACAAUCUGAUGGGAACGUGUCAAGCUUACCAAGGCAGAGAGUUGUGAAUAAAACCUGGGUGUAUUUUAA